This is a long non-coding RNA of Rana temporaria (common frog), 1863 nucleotides long. RefSeq lists it as uncharacterized. The record is from RefSeq and is a predicted model, not a curated record. NCBI's taxonomy places the organism in Eukaryota, Metazoa, Chordata, Amphibia, Anura, Ranidae. The transcript is spliced from 2 exons.
AAAAUGCUGCCGAUUUGAGAUGCGAUUUGACAUAUCAAAUCGUACCAGUGUGAACCAGGCCGUCUGGAUUACUUUUUUUGGGGACUCUGGAGUGAUAUCUACGCAUAAAUUCCUAGGUGUUGGGUGUAGGUGACACUGGGAGUAUAAAUGGUGUAAGCAACCAGGUGAUUUAGCCCAUCAACCUGUUCUGGACCUAUGGCACUAGGCUCUGCAUUGUGGUGCUUUUUCAGACCAGAGUGUACUGUGUUUGUUAGCCGCAGAGUGCUUUCAAGGUCCAGAGCCAUGGCACAGUGUCACCCUGCCUUGGAAAAAAUCACUUUGUGUCUAAGGUUGUUUGAGCUAAUGCACCAGGAGCUACCUUUUUGUUUGCUUUGUUGUGCUCCAGUCAAAUUUCCCACCACCCCUGAAUUUACAGUGGAAAGGGGUUUAAGGCUGAUGGAUCGAAUGCCGAUAUCAUCCGCUAAGUGGUGCUCUGUGCUCUUUCCUGCUGUUCAGCCUGGAGGAAGCACUAUUCUCCUGCACCUGCUUAUGAAGCAUUAGGUGGAUCUCCAGUCUGUUUCCACUGCUCACCUACCUGGGCACCUGAAACUCCUCAUCUGAAUCCGCUACCAGGGUUUGUGUGUACCUGAGGCCUUGCCCCAGUUUUAGCCUAGAUGCAUUACCACUAUGCAGAAGCAUCAUGCCUUUGCUAAAACACAAAGGGGACAGUCCUGUUGGCAUGGGUGACUGCAGCAGCUCACACUCCCUUAGUGGUUCUGUGGGUAUUAAUCCAGUAUCCCCGGAAUGAACCAACACAUUUAAUCUGGAAACUGAUACCCUACUGAGGGUUUCCUUGCCUCUGAGUCCCCCUCAGCUGCUCCCCAAUACUAACAAGGGCCCACCAUAAAGAAAACGGAGUUCUGAGUGCUGCAAACAACCUUGCCCUUGUGGAGAACAAGAAACAGUUCCUUACAGGGUAAGACCACAAGUUCAGACACCCUUCCGAUUUAAGUGAUUGCCUCAAAAACGCAACCUUGGUUGACAAGAGGAAGACAUUUUUUGCUGAAUAGGCUCAAAACGUGAUUCGUUUGAAGGAAGGACACCACCAGUCCGAAGUCCCACAGAGUCAAUGGAAAGUGUCUGUGAAAAAGCACCACCAAAACAAAAACACUUAAUAGUACUCAAAACCAAGGGCAAAAUCAGGAUAGGCCCCUUUCACACUUCUGCGACUUGUCCUGCAACUUGGGACUGGACCUGUCACAGCACUUGUCAAGACUCCUGACUGUUCCCACCCCCCUGCUCCCUCCAUGGUAGCUGUACUAUCAGUUUACACAAUGAAAAAGUGUUCUGUGAAUGGAGGACAAGCGGAUGAAUGAAAGGUCUGUCUCCUCCAUCAUACAGCGCUUCUCAAUCCUAAAAGCUAUAAUACAGCUUCUAUGAAUGGAGGAGUGAACAGAAAAGGGGCGGAAAUAGUUAGGCAGGGUAUGUGGCAGGGCAGAGGUAUUAAAAUUUAACCAAGAGCAGGCACCAGCAGAAGGGAUACUACUUAUUCAGUACCAUUCUUUGCGAUUUAAAGAAAACAAACAAAAUAAACCUAUGCUUUAAACACAAAUUGCAGGUCUUGUCUCACCCCCAGCGGUUGACUGGACAGUGCAAUGGGGAAGCAGCAGACUUAUGAGCUCAUCUUUGUCACUGCAUUUUAUCUACAUGUUGCUGAUUAGCAUGAGCAUUGCAGUACAACUGACUUAUACUGCUUCUUCCUUUCCAAAUCAGGAUUCUGCUGUACAGGACUGGGGGAGACUAAAAUAGGGUACUUGUACUGCUUGUGUUAAAAAAAAAUGUUUUUAACUAUUAAUGAAUAAAUUGCUGCAAACCAACUAAGAA